This 1655-nucleotide long non-coding RNA is filed under the name Setaria viridis. RNAcentral's name for it is "long non-coding RNA (SVIR_LNC002997)". The record is from RNAcentral. Lineage: Eukaryota; Viridiplantae; Streptophyta; Magnoliopsida; Poales; Poaceae.
GGCGUCCGAAAAUGCCCUCUCCUCUAUAUAAACGCAGCCCUCGAAGCAUCGUCACUUCCGAAACCCUAGCUUUCCUGACGCCGCCGCCGACCCACCCCGACGCCGGUAAGAACCCUUGGUCUUCCACCUCGUCUUCCUCAUGCGCGCGCUCCAAAUCAUCCUGCCUCGCUCCCUUCCGCUGAUUGAUUUGCCCUUUCUCCUGAAUCGGUUGUUCAUCUCUGGAUUUCUUGGCGAAACCGCAGGUGAUUAGGAGCAGGAGCAAGAGGGAUCCGGGAUGGCCAAGUCGAAGAACCACACGGCGCACAACCAGUCGUACAAGGCGCACAAGAACGGCAUCAAGAAGCCCAAGCGCAACCGCCAGACCUCCACCAAGGGGGUACGUGCUUCGCUUUCCAUGCUCGCCUAUGCGCCAUGCUAGAUCUGAAUUCUAAAUCGGCGCGCCUUCAUAAAUCCUUUGGCUUUGAUAUCAACGUGAUGUUAUUCGUUAUGUGGUGACUUGUGGUACGCAAUAGAUUUAGUAGCAUGGCUUGAUACAAUCAACACCAGAUGAUGCUAGUUAAUCGUAAUUUUCUACUAGUGUGCGAUCUUUAUUGCCCCGAAAUCACCUAGCUUGCUGCGCAGUUUCUUAGUUUAGUUGUUUUAAAAUUCAUUAUUUGGUUGUAAGUAUUUAAUGUUCAGCUGUAGAAGUCAUGAUUUGGGUUACACUGAAUUUGGUAUUCUGUCUAUUCCUAUGGUAUUGCUGGUUUACUGCUAAUUUGACCUGUGGAAUAUAUGCCUACAGGAUUAGGUAUUUUUGUUGUAUGUUGCUCCAGUUGCAGACUUGUUUCAUUACAUUGGUACCAUUGCAGAUUUCCCUUGUAAUUUUGUAGCUGCAUUACCUGAUGUUUUUUUUUUCAGAAUUCGUUGCUGCUGAAAUGCUGUUUGAUUUGAGUCUUGUAUGUUAAAUCAAAUGUUAUGCAAAAGUUUUUAAGGUCGUGAUAAGAUGUCGGGUGGUGACUUGGUAUGCCUUGUCACUUAGGAGCUAUAAGGUAUAACUAGCCCAUGUGUGGCCUAGUUUCGUCUUGAUGGGUGUGGGUUAUGUACGCCCUUGCAUCCAAAAAUAUGUUUGUAUAGUGCUAGUUAGUGUGAUGUACAGAUUAUUUCUAGUCAUACUCUGAUGUCAAUGUCGUGCUCAUUUGAAUUUACAUUAUACCUUGGGCGUGUUUGUUUUUCUUAUGCUCCAUCGAAUAUUGUUUUAUUCUGUGUUUGUCUAUUAACUGUCUCUUUUGUUGUGGUUUUAGAUGGACCCAAAGUUCCUGAGGAACCUGAGGUACUCAAGGAAGAACAACAAGAAGAGCGGCGAGGCUGAGGCUGAGGAGUAAGCUGGUGGAACUUCAGCUGAUGAAUCUCUCUUGUAUCCCUAGGGUCUGCUAGAGUCAUGAACUUCAUUCUCUGUUCUGUAUUAUCAAAGAAGUUCGCUCAGUUGGUACCAAAGUUUUGUUUGUCAUGCUGCCUGGCUGGACUUGGAACCCUUAUUUGCAGCUUAUGAGAAUUGGGAACCCCAUUGCCUUUUUUGUGAUGCCUGUUAUCAACAGUUCGCCGUUUUCUUCGAUGUCUUAUCAUCUUGUGAUAUGAGGAUGCGACGUUUGAGCACCCUCUCUAAGCAGAAAGGAAUG